This is a non-coding RNA of Cyanistes caeruleus (blue tit), 1010 nucleotides long. NCBI's taxonomy places the organism in Eukaryota, Metazoa, Chordata, Aves, Passeriformes, Paridae. The record is from RefSeq and is a predicted model, not a curated record.
UCCAUCCAUCCCUCGUUGCGGUGGGGCCGCGGGGAGCAGCGGACGCUGGAAACCACAUCUGGCUUUGACUUUCUCAGCAGCAGAUCAGGAUCCCGAGGCCCUUUGCUACAAGACACCUGCACCUUUCAGUGUGGCAGCCUUGAUGUAAAUAGGUAACACACUUUGCUUGAAUCAGUGGAGCAGCUCCUGGCAGCAAAGCCAAGACCGUAAGUCCGUGCUGGAUUGCACCCAAGGGGAGGGUGAUCGGGUCGGCACAGGCUUUCCUCGGGAUAGGGACACACAGGGACAGCUCACCGCAGCUUUCAGAGACCCAGGAAGUGUCAUGAGAUGUCUCGGCGACCUGCAAAAAUUCAGUAUGCAGCAAGGCAGCUGGAGUAGUUCUAUUGACUCUGCUGUCAUCAAAUGAGUCAGCGGCAAGUCACAGUCUUGUAUGUCAGCAGGGAGUGGCGCGCCAGGAAACCAGCCACAAAAGUGGGGGGGGGGAAAGCAAAGAACCCCCCGAGAAUUCGAACCGUAAUUGACUGCUUUUAGAAGUUUCUAGUACUUUCAAAUGGCCGGUAAAAUCCUGUGUGUCGGCACAGAGUUCGCUGUCCCUGUGCCACAUCGCAUCGCGUGUGAGCACCCUCAGCCGCUCCGGGCGCAGGCUGUGCAGAAUCGAAUCCCACCAAGCCCAGAGCCCCGGCUCUGCCCGCCACCCUGCACAGCUCUGCAGGCCCGGCGAGGGCUCACCCAGCCGUGGCUGCCUCCACCCGUGGCCGGUAUACGGCUGGCAGCCUGAUCUGUGUCGCCUGAGUGGGGCUGUGGUGCGGGUGGCUGGAGGGCAGCGCUCCUGUUCCUACUGCGGGUUUCAUUUGUCUGUGGGGCGAGGGGUCUGCACCCCGGCCGGGAACCAGCUCCAGCCCAGCUGCACUCCUGCCCGUGCCCGGGGGCCGCGCCCCAGCCCCGCCCGGCACCUCGGCCAGGUGAGUGUCGGCCCAGCGCGGCCCCCGUUCAUCAAGGGCUCUGCCACG